This 446-nucleotide ribosomal RNA is filed under the name uncultured bacterium. RNAcentral describes it as "partial 16S ribosomal RNA". It matches the Rfam family "Bacterial small subunit ribosomal RNA", at positions 338 to 795 of the family's 1533-position model. The record is from RNAcentral.
CCUACGGGGGUCAGCAGUCGAGAAUCAUUCACAAUGGGGGAAACCCUGAUGGUGCGACGCCGCGUGGGGGAAUGAAGGUCUUCGGAUUGUAAACCCCUGUCAUGUGGGAGCAAAUUAAAAAGAUAGUACCACAAGAGGAAGAGACGGCUAACCCUGUGCCAGCAGCCGCGGUAAUACAGAGGUCUCAAGCGUUGUUCGGAAUCACUGGGCGUAAAGCGUGCGUAGGCUGUUUCGUAAGUCGUGUGUGAAAGGCGCGGGCUCAACCCGCGGACGGCACAUGAUACUGCGAGACUAGAGUAAGGGAGGGGGAACCGGAAUUCUCGGUGUAGCAGUGAAAUGCGUAGAUAUCGAGAGGAACACUCGUGGCGAAGGCGGGUUCCUGGACAUUAACUGACGCUGAGGCACGAAGGCCAGGGGAGCGAAAGGGAUUAGAUACCCCUGUAGUC